Molecule: long non-coding RNA, 2087 nt
Organism: Trichoplusia ni (cabbage looper)
Lineage: Eukaryota; Metazoa; Arthropoda; Insecta; Lepidoptera; Noctuidae
Exons: 3
Source: RefSeq, a predicted model, not a curated record
ACUAAGAAUGUUGUUUAAAUGGAAAUAAAAAAAUGCAUAAACUAAGUUUUUAUGUUUCUAUGCACAAAUGAUCAAAUGUUUCCUUUAGUUUCCCCUUACCUGAUUAAAAGGUUUUCUGGAAAAAAGGCUUAUGUUAGUUGAAACAGAUACUAAGUCCUGGCUGGAAAAAGUUUAAUGAUCUAUUUUUAUGUGACAACCCUAAAAAUAAUUUUAUAUUUUCUUAAAUAAAUUCGCCUUCAAACGACUUUUAUAACUCAAACGAAAUAUUACAUGAAACUGUUGCAGUAAUGAAACGAGAUUAUCGUCAGAACGAGAUUAAAUGCUAUGAGUAAAGCAACAGAUUAAUUUGGAUUUCACUUCGUUUGCUUCAGCCAUUUUCCAGUAAACAGCGCCGAAAAUUUAAUGAAUUUAAUGAUAUCGUUUGAUGGUCCGCUUUUGGUGUUGUUAAUAUUUUGUUUAUUUUUGCUAUCGUAUCUUUCCUUCUUAUCAUUUAGUACGAUAGACGUAUGGAAAGACAAAUUAAGGUUAUGAAAAGAAGAAAAAGACCUAGAAGGAACUACAUAGACCAACUGAAGGAUAUAAAGAAUAAUUUCUGGAGUUUCUUGUCGGAUCUUCUUCAUAGGAAUUAUAUUUUAGAACCGUGCACCAGAGUUAUUACUGUAACUAUUAAAAAGCACCCGGGAAACGAGCUACUUGAAAUAAAAACUUUAGAUAAGGCAGAAGUGUAAUCAUACGAAGAUUUAAAGGAGGUAGUACUAGAUUGAAAAAGCUGCAUCAACAAGUAGGUACAUUAGAUGUGAUGAGAUAUUUACAUGAUGAAAGUGACCAAGUUGAUGGCAAUUUUUGUUACAGAUUAGCAACUAUAAUUUAUUGUGUUCAGUGUACAUUUGUAUGAUAUUGUAACUGUGUUACCUUGCACGUGGUUCUAACACUGCAAGUAGAAAUUAAAAGUCUAUUAAAAUUGAUUUAUUCGUUCUCAAAUAAAUGACCAGGUAAGCAAUCAAGGAACCUUGUUUUAUUAACGCAAUUAUGAUUGCGUGAAGUUAUGAAUAAUUCGCACAAGUUCAAUUUGAGAAUGCUUGUUCGUAACGAAUGGGAACGUGUGUGGUAAUUAUAAGAAAUGAGAGAUUAGUAUUUACUUGGAUUUCAAAUGAUAAACCAAAUCCAUGGGGUUAAGAAACAGCUGAUUUGAGGUUAUAUGUUAAAAUGGUGCCAUUACUUCUUCUGUUUUCUUUUAUUGGAGGCUUACAAUCAGCAUCAUAUACCGAAAGUUUGCAAGAGACACCUUCGGAAUUUAAGGAUGAAAAAGGCUGUUAUGUGGAUAGAAUCAAGGAGGUAAUCCCUUUUGAGGGGUUCUCCGUACUUCCUCGAGAAUGCAUGAGAAUUGACUGCAAUGUGACCCUAAUUACGUAUAACACAUGUGAUGUUGAAGAGCUUCCUAGUGAACCAAACAGUACCUGCGUAUUUAAGAAUGAUCCAAACGAGUUUUAUCCCGAUUGUUGUCCCAGAAUUGUUUGCGUCGAAGAAGAGGAUUUACAUGAUAACAACUAAACUGUGGAAUCUUUUUUUUUUGUUUUAUUUAUAUUAAGCCUUCGUUUUUAGUCAAAUAUACUUUAACUUUCAUACGAGAUAAUGGAUUGAAAUGAAAUCAUUUACCCUGUAAGUAGGAUAUAUUAUCAUCACUUCUACAUGUCUCCUUUUUUUGAGAUCGCUGGAGUCGGCAUUUCCUAUCUGAAUAACCUGAGAAGAAACGUCGAAAAAAACUCAGGGGUCACAGUCUCUUUUGAAGUCCAGACAAUUUCAAUGCGAAUAGAAAUGCAUAAACCAAUGUACGGUAUUUUUUUGGAUUGGCCUUUUGAAGAAAGUAUCAGAUCAAUCUGAGCAAGGGGGAAAAAAAGAAACUCAUAAGAAAUAGAGAUUACAACUGUGGAUGCACACUUCUCAUAACUCACCGAAAUUGUAUACAAAUUAUGAAUUAGUCAAUUUACAUCCAUAAUAGCUACAGUACCUACGUACACAACAAAAAUUGAAAGUAUCACAGUAAUACUUGUUGAGAUAGCCGUAGGAUGUAAUCGAUUUGUGUAUGA